Molecule: long non-coding RNA, 171 nt
Organism: Oreochromis niloticus (Nile tilapia)
Lineage: Eukaryota; Metazoa; Chordata; Actinopteri; Cichliformes; Cichlidae
Exons: 3
Source: RefSeq, a predicted model, not a curated record
AAUUAAGAAGUCUAAAAAAAUGAAAAUGAAAAGACCAUCUCUGAAUCGAUGAGGGGGCCUAAGGGUACAUCUUUCACCAUCUUACAAUGGCGUCUUUGCAGCCAUUCCUCAAUUAUCUGUGAAUAGUUCUCAUGGCGAUUGAUCCAUGGUCUUUGAUCAUCAAUGGUCAAU